Molecule: non-coding RNA, 582 nt
Filed under: Pan troglodytes (chimpanzee)
Lineage: Eukaryota; Metazoa; Chordata; Mammalia; Primates; Hominidae
Source: RNAcentral
AGGUCAGGAAAGCCUGAACUUUCUCAUCCAACACCUGUUCAAGUCGGAGGAUGCUGAUUAAUUCAUGAUGGAAAGGUAUCAAUUUCACAGCCCAGACCUCUACAUUCUUGAAAUGCUCUUCUCAUGGGAGACAUUAAAUAAGCUUUGAAUUAACUUGCCAUGACACCCAGGAUGCAGCUGUAGGAACACCACUGGGUCCCUGGAUGUCAUGUAAGCCCUUAAGUAAAAGUGCCAUCAAAUGAUUUCUCAGAAAUUAUAAAGAAACAAAAGGACCAUAAACAAGAUAAGGUGGCAUGAGGAAACAUUACAAGUACCUUUCAGAGCUGACUGGCAAAGAAACUCCUGAGGUGAUGGUUCUACCCCAAUAUUACUUCUUCCAAGAGCAACCUAACUGACCUUGUAUUGAAGACAGCGUAACCCCCAAGAGGAAAGGAGCUUGGAGCCCUGAAUCAGAGUAGAAGACAGGCUGAAUGAAUACCAGCCUUGGACUGUUAUGUGAAUGAAAAACAAGUUUUGAGAUUUGUGUGGUUUAUUUAUUAUAGUUACUGUUAUUAUUAAAGUUUUUCACUGCUUUACUCUCAG